UACGGAGGAUGCAAGCGUUAUCCGGAAUUAUUGGGCGUAAAGCGUCUGUAGGUGGAUGUUCAAGUCUGCUGUCAAAGACCGGGGCUCAACCCUGGACAGGCGGUGGAAACUACCAAGCUAGAGUACGGUAGAGGCAGAGGGAAUUUCCGGUGGAGCGGUGAAAUGCGUUGAGAUCGGGAAGAACACCAACAGGCGAAAGCACUCUGCUGGGCCGUCACUGACACUCAGAGACGAAAGCUAGGGGAGCGAAUGGG
This 254-nucleotide ribosomal RNA is filed under the name uncultured bacterium. RNAcentral's name for it is "partial 16S ribosomal RNA". It matches the Rfam family "Bacterial small subunit ribosomal RNA", at positions 524 to 776 of the family's 1533-position model. The record is from RNAcentral.